GGGUUGUGAGGUUAAGUGACUAAGCGUACACGGUGGAUGCCUAGGCAGUCAGAGGCGAUGAAGGGCGUGCUAAUCUGCGAAAAGCGUCGGUAAGGUGAUAUGAACCGUUACAACCGGCGAUACCCGAAUGGGGAAACCCAGUGUGUUUCGACACACUAUCAUGUCAUGAAUACAUAGUGGCAUGAGGCGAACCGGGGGAACUGAAACAUCUAAGUACCCCGAGGAAAAGAAAUCAACCGAGAUUCCCCCAGUAGCGGCGAGCGAACGGGGAGGAGCCCAGAACCUGAAUCGGCUUGUGUGUUAGUGGAAGCGUCUGGAAAGUCGCGCAGCAAAGGGUGAUAGCCCCGUACACUAAAAUGCACAUGUCGUGAGUUCGAUGAGUAGGGCGGGACACGUGACAUCCUGUCUGAAUAUGGGGGGACCAUCCUCCAAGGCUAAAUACUCCUGACUGACCGAUAGUGAACCAGUACCGUGAGGGAAAGGCGAAAAGAACCCCGGCGAGGGGAGUGAAAUAGAACCUGAAACCGUGUACGUACAAGCAGUGGGAGCACCUUCGUGGUGUGACUGCGUACCUUUUGUAUAAUGGGUCAGCGACUUAUAUUUUGUAGCAAGGUUAACCGUAUAGGGGAGCCGUAGGGAAACCGAGUCUUAACUGGGCGACUAGUUGCAAGGUAUAGACCCGAAACCCGGUGAUCUAGCCAUGGGCAGGUUGAAGGUUGGGUAACACUAACUGGAGGACCGAACCGACUAAUGUUGAAAAAUUAGCGGAUGACUUGUGGCUGGGGGUGAAAGGCCAAUCAAACCGGGAGAUAGCUGGUUCUCCCCGAAAGCUAUUUAGGUAGCGCCUCGUGAACUCAUCUUCGGGGGUAGAGCACUGUUUCGGCUAGGGGGCCAUCCCGGCUUACCAAACCGAUGCAAACUCCGAAUACCGAAGAAUGUUAUCACGGGAGACACACGGCGGGUGCUAACGUCCGUCGUGAAGAGGGAAACAACCCAGACCGCCAGCUAAGGUCCCAAAGUCAUGGUUAAGUGGGAAACGAUGUGGGAAGGCAUAGACAGCCAGGAUGUUGGCUUAGAAGCAGCCAUCAUUUAAAGAAAGCGUAAUAGCUCACUGGUCGAGUCGGCCUGCGCGGAAGAUGUAACGGGGCUAAACCAUGCACCGAAGCUGCGGCAGCGACGCUUAGGCGUUGUUGGGUAGGGGAGCGUUCUGUAAGCCGUUGAAGGUGGCCUGUGAGGGUUGCUGGAGGUAUCAGAAGUGCGAAUGCUGACAUAAGUAACGAUAAAGCGGGUGAAAAGCCCGCUCGCCGGAAGACCAAGGGUUCCUGUCCAACGUUAAUCGGGGCAGGGUGAGUCGACCCCUAAGGCGAGGCUGAAAAGCGUAGUCGAUGGGAAACAGGUUAAUAUUCCUGUACUUGGUGUUACUGCGAAGGGGGGACGGAGAAGGCUAGGCUGGCCGGGCGACGGUUGUCCCGGUUUAAGCGUGUAGGGGGUGUGACCUGGUAAAUCCGGUUGCAUAUCAACCCUGAGGCGUGAUGACGAUGCACUACGGUGCAGAAGUAGUUGAUGCCCUGCUUCCAGGAAAAUCCUCUAAGCUCCAGGUAACAUUAAAUCGUACCCCAAACCGACACAGGUGGUCAGGUAGAGAAUACCAAGGCGCUUGAGAGAACUCGGGUGAAGGAACUAGGCAAAAUGGUGCCGUAACUUCGGGAGAAGGCACGCUGGCAUGUAGGUGAAGUCCCUCGCGGAUGGAGCUGAAGCCAGUCGAAGAUACCAGCUGGCUGCAACUGUUUAAUAAAAACACAGCACUGUGCAAACACGAAAGUGGACGUAUACGGUGUGACGCCUGCCCGGUGCUGGAAGGUUAAUUGAUGGGGUCAGCCGCAAGGCGAAGCUCUUGAUCGAAGCCCCAGUAAACGGCGGCCGUAACUAUAACGGUCCUAAGGUAGCGAAAUUCCUUGUCGGGUAAGUUCCGACCUGCACGAAUGGCGUAAUGAUGGCCAGGCUGUCUCCACCCGAGACUCAGUGAAAUUGAACUCGCUGUGAAGAUGCAGUGUACCCGCGGCAAGACGGAAAGACCCCGUGAACCUUUACUAUAGCUUGACACUGAACAUUGAGCCUUGAUGUGUAGGAUAGGUGGGAGGCUUUGAAGCGUGGACGCCAGUCUGCGUGGAGCCAUCCUUGAAAUACCACCCUUUAAUGUUUGAUGUUCUAACUCGGCCCCAUAAUCUGGGGUGAGGACAGUGUCUGGUGGGUAGUUUGACUGGGGCGGUCUCCUCCCAAAGAGUAACGGAGGAGCACGAAGGUUAGCUAAUCACGGUCGGACAUCGUGAGGUUAGUGCAAAGGCAUAAGCUAGCUUGACUGCGAGAGUGACGGCUCGAGCAGGUACGAAAGUAGGUCUUAGUGAUCCGGUGGUUCUGAAUGGAAGGGCCAUCGCUCAACGGAUAAAAGGUACUCCGGGGAUAACAGGCUGAUACCGCCCAAGAGUUCAUAUCGACGGCGGUGUUUGGCACCUCGAUGUCGGCUCAUCACAUCCUGGGGCUGAAGUAGGUCCCAAGGGUAUGGCUGUUCGCCAUUUAAAGUGGUACGCGAGCUGGGUUUAGAACGUCGUGAGACAGUUCGGUCCCUAUCUGCCGUGGGCGUUGGAAGAUUGAGAGGGGUUGCUCCUAGUACGAGAGGACCGGAGUGAACGCACCACUGGUGUUCGGGUUGUCAUGCCAAUGGCAUUGCCCGGUAGCUAAGUGCGGAAAAGAUAAGCGCUGAAAGCAUCUAAGCGCGAAACUUGCCUCAAGAUGAGUCUUCCCUGGGCCUUUAAGGCCCCUGAAGGAACGUUUAAGACUAAGACGUUGAUAGGCUGGAUGUGUAAGUGCAGCGAUGCAUUGAGCUAACCAGUACUAAUGAUCCGUGAGGCUUAACCUUACAACACCGAAGGUGUUU
Molecule: ribosomal RNA, 2935 nt
Filed under: Serratia ureilytica
Lineage: Bacteria; Pseudomonadati; Pseudomonadota; Gammaproteobacteria; Enterobacterales; Yersiniaceae
Description: 23S ribosomal RNA
Rfam family: Bacterial large subunit ribosomal RNA
Source: RNAcentral